RNAcentral lists this ribosomal RNA (253 nucleotides) under uncultured bacterium. RNAcentral's name for it is "partial 16S ribosomal RNA". It matches the Rfam family "Bacterial small subunit ribosomal RNA", at positions 524 to 776 of the family's 1533-position model. The record is from RNAcentral.
UACGAAGGACCCGAGCGUUAUCCGGAUUUAUUGGGUUUAAAGGGUGCGUAGGCGGAUUAUUAAGUCAGUGGUGAAAGCCUUCAGCUUAACUGAAGAAUUGCCAUUGAUACUGAUGAUCUUGAGUAUGAUUGAGGUGGGCGGAAUAUGACAUGUAGUGGUGAAAUACAUAGAGAUGUCAUAGAACACCGAUUGCGAAGGCAGCUCACAAAGCUGUAACUGACACUGAGGCUCGAAAGUGCGGGGAUCAAACAGG